GGGCGUUUAGCUCAGUGGUAGAGCGUUCCGUUCACAUCGGAAAGGUCGCAGGUCCGAUCCCUGCAACGCCCACAA
This 75-nucleotide transfer RNA is filed under the name Candidatus Liptonbacteria bacterium RIFCSPHIGHO2_01_FULL_57_28. Its description in RNAcentral is "tRNA-Val". It matches the Rfam family "tRNA". From Rfam's summary of the family: Transfer RNA (tRNA) molecules are approximately 80 nucleotides in length. Their secondary structure includes four short double-helical elements and three loops (D, anti-codon, and T loops). The record is from RNAcentral. Lineage: Bacteria; Candidatus Liptoniibacteriota.